Molecule: ribosomal RNA, 254 nt
Filed under: uncultured bacterium
Lineage: Bacteria
Description: partial 16S ribosomal RNA
Rfam family: Bacterial small subunit ribosomal RNA
Source: RNAcentral
UACGUAGGGUGCAAGCGUUAAUCGGAAUUACUGGGCGUAAAGCGUGCGCAGGCGGUUGUGCAAGACAGAUGUGAAAUCCCCGGGCUCAACCUGGGAACUGCAUUUGUGACUGCACGGCUGGAGUGCGGCAGAGGGGGAUGGAAUUCCGCGUGUAGCAGUGAAAUGCGUAGAUAUGCGGAGGAACACCGAUGGCGAAGGCAAUCCCCUGGGCCUGCACUGACGCUCAUGCACGAAAGGCGUGGGGAGCAAACAGG